RNAcentral lists this unclassified non-coding RNA (279 nucleotides) under plant metagenome. RNAcentral describes it as "partial contains small subunit ribosomal RNA, internal transcribed spacer 1, and 5.8S ribosomal RNA". The record is from RNAcentral.
UUUCCGUAGGUUAACCUGCGGAAGGAUCAUUAUUGUAUAACCGACGUUCAAGCUCUUUCGCUCACUCGAAACGUCGUUCACGCCCGAGUGCCCUCCCACACAUCCAUCUCACCCCUAUGUGCACCACCGCGUUGGCCCCCCUAUGGCUUUUUCGGCGACGUGCUUACGCUUUCACACACACUCUACAUGCAGUGUAGAAUUUAUUUCUUGUUUUUGCGAUCCCGCAAUCAAUACAACUUUCAACAACGGAUCCCUUGGAUCUCGCCUCGAUGCGCAACC